UGUUAUAAUUUUCAUACAUUUCUACUGUUAAAAAUUGGUCUCUGUACGUUGACAUGAGGUACAUGUGACACGUCAUAUGUACAUGUCUAGUUAUUUCGUCGGCCACACCAGUUUUAAUAGUAGAAAUUGAUGAAAUUUUUAUA
Non-coding RNA from Gossypium raimondii (Peruvian cotton), 143 nucleotides. The record is from Rfam. NCBI's taxonomy places the organism in Eukaryota, Viridiplantae, Streptophyta, Magnoliopsida, Malvales, Malvaceae.